UUAGCGCCAGUGCCCGGAAACGGGACGACGAGGAGAAGGGUUAUCGAAAAUUCGGCGGGUGCCCUUCCGUAGCUCUUCGCUGCGUGAUGUAUCGGCAAAUAUGCGGGUAACUGCAAAACAAAUACGAUACAA
Molecule: non-coding RNA, 132 nt
Filed under: human gut metagenome
Also listed under: 1 other name
Description: glmS glucosamine-6-phosphate activated ribozyme
Rfam family: glmS glucosamine-6-phosphate activated ribozyme aptamer
About the family: This entry contains a glucosamine-6-phosphate activated ribozyme that is found in the mRNA for GlmS. GlmS is an enzyme that uses fructose-6-phosphate and glutamine to generate glucosamine-6-phosphate.
Source: RNAcentral